GCCCCUGUAGCUCAGAAGGUAGAGCGGCUGUUAAUAAAUAAAUGUAAUCUGUUAAGUUUACUACAGCAAUAUAAUCCAACAGAAUGGCGCUGGUUCGAGUCCAGUCAGGGGCU
Molecule: transfer RNA, 113 nt
Filed under: Thioploca sp.
Lineage: Bacteria; Pseudomonadati; Pseudomonadota; Gammaproteobacteria; Thiotrichales; Thiotrichaceae
Description: tRNA-OTHER
Rfam family: tRNA
About the family: Transfer RNA (tRNA) molecules are approximately 80 nucleotides in length. Their secondary structure includes four short double-helical elements and three loops (D, anti-codon, and T loops).
Source: RNAcentral